CCUACGGGUGGCUGCAGUGGGGAAUAUUGGGCAAUGGAGGAAACUCUGACCCAGCAACGCCGCGUGAAUGAUGAAGGUCCUCGGAUUGUAAAGUUCUUUUCUCAGGGACGAAGAAAGUGACGGUACCUUAGGAAUAAGCCUCGGCUAACUACGUGCCAGCAGCCGCGGUAAUACGUAGGAGGCGAGCGUUAUCCGGAAUGACUGGGGGUAAAGGGUGCGUAGGCGGGAUGGCAAGUUAGUAGUGUAACUCCAGGGCCUAACCUUGGAACUGCUACUAAAACUGUUGGUCUUGAGUGCAGGAGAAGCAAGCGGAAUUCCUGGGGUAGCGGUGAAAUGCGUAGAUAUUAGGAGGAACACCAGUGGCGAAGGCGGGUUGCUGGACUGUAACUGACACUGAGGCACGAAAGCGUGGGGAGCAAACAGGAUUAGAUACCCCUGUAGUC
Molecule: ribosomal RNA, 443 nt
Filed under: uncultured bacterium
Lineage: Bacteria
Description: partial 16S ribosomal RNA
Rfam family: Bacterial small subunit ribosomal RNA
Source: RNAcentral